Molecule: ribosomal RNA, 468 nt
Filed under: uncultured bacterium
Lineage: Bacteria
Description: partial 16S ribosomal RNA
Rfam family: Bacterial small subunit ribosomal RNA
Source: RNAcentral
GACGAACGCUGGCGGCGUGCUUAACACAUGCAAGUCGAACGGAAAGGCCCUGCUUUUGUGGGGUGCUCGAGUGGCGAACGGGUGAGUAACACGUGAGUAACCUGCCCUUUACUUUGGGGUAACUUCAGGAAACUGGGGCUACUACCGGAUAGGCGCUCCUGCUGCUUGGUGGGGGUUGGAAAGUUUCGGCGGUUGGGGAUGGACUCGCGGCUUAUCAGCUUGUUGGUGGGGUAGUGGCUUACCAAGGCUUUGACGGGUAGCCGGCCUGCGAGGGUGACCGGCCACAUUGGGACUGAGAUACGGCCCAGACUCCUACGGGAGGCAGCAGUGGGGAAUAUUGCACAAUGGGCGGAAGCCUGAUGCAGCAACGCCGCGUGCGGGAUGACGGCCUUCGGGGUGUAAACCGCUUUCGCCUGUGACGAAGCGUGAGUGACGGUAAUGGGUAAAGAAGCACCGGCUAACUACGUG